ACAGUUCAAUGCAUUGGUGCUAACUGGCUCCUGUGCCGGUGGCACAUAAAAAGCAGCAUUCGAACGUGGUCAUUGCUAGUGCUGCACGACUGGCU
Long non-coding RNA from Octopus sinensis (East Asian common octopus), 95 nucleotides. RefSeq lists it as uncharacterized. The record is from RefSeq and is a predicted model, not a curated record. The transcript has 3 exons. Lineage: Eukaryota; Metazoa; Mollusca; Cephalopoda; Octopoda; Octopodidae.